AACGUAGGAGGCAAGCGUUAUCCGGAUUUACUGGGCGUAAAGCGCGUGCAGGCGGUUCGGCAAGUUGGAUGUGAAAGCUCCUGGCUCAACUAGGAGAGGUCGUUCAAAACUACCGAACUUGAGGGCAACAGAGGAAAGUGGAAUUCCCGGUGUAGUGGUGAAAUGCGUAGAUAUCGGGAGGAACACCAGUGGCGAAAGCGACUUUCUGGGUUGCAUCUGACGCUCAGACGCGAAAGCUAGGGUAGCAAACGGG
RNAcentral lists this ribosomal RNA (253 nucleotides) under uncultured Longilinea sp. Its description in RNAcentral is "partial 16S ribosomal RNA". It matches the Rfam family "Bacterial small subunit ribosomal RNA", at positions 524 to 776 of the family's 1533-position model. Lineage: Bacteria; Bacillati; Chloroflexota; Anaerolineae; Anaerolineales; Anaerolineaceae. The record is from RNAcentral.